This 253-nucleotide ribosomal RNA is filed under the name uncultured bacterium. RNAcentral's name for it is "partial 16S ribosomal RNA". It matches the Rfam family "Bacterial small subunit ribosomal RNA", at positions 524 to 776 of the family's 1533-position model. The record is from RNAcentral.
CACGUAGGGCGCAAGCGUUGUCCGGAAUUAUUGGGCGUAAAGAGCUCGUAGGCGGUCUGUUGCGUCCGCUGUGAAAACUCGGGGCUUAACCCCGAGCCUGCAGUGGAUACGGGCAGACUAGAGGUAGGUAGGGGAGAAUGGAAUUCCCGGUGUAGCGGUGAAAUGCGCAGAUAUCGGGAGGAACACCAGUGGCGAAGGCGGCACUCUGGGCCGGAACUGACGCUGAGGAGCGAAAGCGUGGGGAGCGAACAGG